This 235-nucleotide ribosomal RNA is filed under the name uncultured bacterium. RNAcentral's name for it is "partial 16S ribosomal RNA". It matches the Rfam family "Bacterial small subunit ribosomal RNA", at positions 1257 to 1500 of the family's 1533-position model. The record is from RNAcentral.
GUGAUGGCAUGCGAAUCUCGAAAGCCUAUCUCAGUUCGGAUUGGAGGCUGAAACCCGCCUCCAUGAAGUUGGAUUCGCUAGUAAUCGCGCAUCAGCCAUGGCGCGGUGAAUACGUUCCCGGGCCUUGUACACACCGCCCGUCAAGCCAUGGGAGCCGGGGGUGCCUGAAGUUCGUUACCGCAAGGAUCGACCUAGGGCAAAACUGGUGACUGGGGCUAAGUCGUAACAAGGUAAC